CCUACGGGAGGCAGCAGUGAGGAAUAUUGGUCAAUGGGCGGGAGCCUGAACCAGCCAUGCCGCGUGCAGGAAGACGGCCUUCUGGGUUGUAAACUGCUUUUAUACGAGAGCAAAAGGGUCCUGCGGGACAGAUUGAGAGUAUCGUAUGAAUAAGCACCGGCUAACUCCGUGCCAGCAGCCGCGGUAAUACGGAGGGUGCAAGCGUUGUCCGGAUUUAUUGGGUUUAAAGGGUGCGUAGGCGGCGUAAUAAGUCAGUGGUGAAAGCCGGCAGCUCAACUGUCGAGGUGCCAUUGAUACUGUUAUGCUUGAGUACAGACGAGGUAGGCGGAAUUUAUGAUGUAGCGGUGAAAUGCAUAGAUAUCAUAAAGAACACCUAUAGCGAAGGCAGCUUACUAGGCUGUAACUGACGCUGAGGCACGAAAGCGUGGGGAGCGAACAGGAUUAGAUACCCUGGUAGUCCACGCUGUAAACGAUGAUGACUCGAUGUUGGCGAUAUACCGUCAGCGUCCUAGCGAAAGCGUUAAGUCAUCCACCUGGGGAGUACGCUGGCAACAGUGAAACUCAAAGGAAUGACGAAUCUCGACUGCAGAUUUUUCC
Molecule: ribosomal RNA, 597 nt
Filed under: uncultured Bacteroidota bacterium
Lineage: Bacteria; Pseudomonadati; Bacteroidota
Description: bacterial SSU rRNA
Rfam family: Bacterial small subunit ribosomal RNA
Source: RNAcentral